This 466-nucleotide ribosomal RNA is filed under the name uncultured bacterium. RNAcentral describes it as "partial 16S ribosomal RNA". It matches the Rfam family "Bacterial small subunit ribosomal RNA", at positions 28 to 507 of the family's 1533-position model. The record is from RNAcentral.
GAUGAACGCUGGCGGCGUGCUUAACACAUGCAAGUCGAACGGAAAGGCUCCUGCUUGCAGGGGUACUCGAGUGGCGAACUGGUGAGUAACACGUGGGUGAUCUGCCCUGCACUUCGGGAUAAGCCUGGGAAACUGGGUCUAAUACCGGAUAGGACGAUGGUUUGGAUGCCAUUGUGGAAAGUUUUUUCGGUGUGGGAUGAGCUCGCGGCCUAUCAGCUUGUUGGUGGGGUAAUGGCCUACCAAGGCGUCGACGGGUAGCCGGCCUGAGAGGGUGUACGGCCACAUUGGGACUGAGAUACGGCCCAGACUCCUACGGGAGGCAGCAGUGGGGAAUAUUGCACAAUGGGCGCAAGCCUGAUGCAGCGACGCCGCGUGGGGGAUGACGGCCUUCGGGUUGUAAACUCCUUUCGCUAGGGACGAAGCGCAAGUGACGGUACCUGGAGAAGAAGCACCGGCUAACUACGUG